GGGUCUGCUGCCGGAACCGCCAAAGGAGGGAGGUCUUCUGGUGGAAACCAAACCGAAGGGUGGAUAGUCCAUACAUGGCUCAUGAAGUCAGGGUCGGCACCUCCCAGCACAUCCGGCAUAGACAAAGCAGGCGAGGCGGGGCCGGCAACAGUGGUGGCGCCCAGUGCAGUCCGCACGGGCAAAGCAGCCGGGCAUGGGGCAGUGGGGACAGCCGCGGGAGAAGCGAUCGAGGAUGGGACGGCCGGAACAAACAGGACACCUCCGGCGAGGUUGGCGCGGCGAUCACAGAUCACGCAGCAGGCCCGCCUGGGAAGCUGAAGCUGAUUUUACAUGUGACUCACUCUCACACACAACAAGACAACAAUAAGGAACCUCCGUCUGCCGAUCAUGCCAGAAGAAACAGAGCGAGGCUGCCAGACUUCUCAGGGCGUGCCUUCCUCACUCGGAAUCCUCUGAGGCUUUGGCAGCAAGGUGUUAGGUCCGUGUUACGGCACCAAAUUGUGAAAAAUGCCAAUCACUUAUGUUAAAAUUUUAGAAGUUUAAUAGUAAUCACAUAGUAAUAAACAUUAGGACAAUAAGAAUUUGGACAAUCAAAGUUAGGAAAAUAAAAGGCAAUAAAAAGCAAAGAAUUAUGGACGUCUGGGCGCUUUUGUUCUGCCACAAAGGCACAUUUUGCUAUCAAAGGAUUAACCCUUAAAAGCAAUAGCCUAUUGCAUAUUCAUAUAUCUCAUACAUGAUUCAAACAUUCCUUUCAUUAUGAAUAAGGGGGUAAUUCAUGCUGGAAAUGUAAGAUUAUUAAUGUAAUAUAAAAUAAAGCUUUAAGAUCAUGCCAGCAAAGGGGAAAGGAUGAUUGCCAAACAGGACAGCUGGGAGCCGAGGAGGAGGUGCAUCAUUAACAUACAAAGAAAACCUAGCCUGCACAGAAGAUGGGCACUCCCCGAUGGCACGAACAAGAAAAUGCCCAGCGAUGAUGGCCCAUGUAGAUGUCCACCUCAGAUAGACAGGACCAUCAAGGACAUACAUCUGAAUGAAGGAUUCCGGGAACUGGAGACAGAUACACAUCAAUUCCCACACGUGACUUUGUCCAGCACAGGACAGAGAAUAGACACUGCAUGAAUAUGAAGUACUCCAGGAGGGGACAAAGGGACUCUGCUGUGGGCAAGAAAAAAAGUAUAAAAAUCGAACUCUGCCAGGCCUCGGUGGUUGAACAGGGGGAUUUGGUGCGAUAGACGCCGGAUCAUCGUUCACCUGCUCCGAUCCCGGGGUUGGCGCUACUUUUUGAUUGUUGGCGGUCGGGACUGUAUAUUGGUCGCAAAUAAAUUUAAUUUUUAUUUUUGA
Molecule: long non-coding RNA, 1338 nt
Organism: Passer domesticus (house sparrow)
Lineage: Eukaryota; Metazoa; Chordata; Aves; Passeriformes; Passeridae
Exons: 3
Source: RefSeq, a predicted model, not a curated record